CUUUCAUUCUCUUUCAUAUUAAAUGUAGCUAUCUCACUCAUUUGCGAUCUCGCGGCCGAUGCAGUAUCUAAAUUUUAAUAAAACCUUAAUCCAUGUUGCUAUCAUUCUCUUUCUAUCUAUCUCACUCGUUUGCGAUCUCGCGGCCGAUGCAGUAUCAAAAUUUUAAUAAAACCUAAAUCCAUGUUGCUAUCAUUCUUUUUCUCUCUA
Long non-coding RNA from Aricia agestis (brown argus), 207 nucleotides. RefSeq lists it as uncharacterized. The record is from RefSeq and is a predicted model, not a curated record. NCBI's taxonomy places the organism in Eukaryota, Metazoa, Arthropoda, Insecta, Lepidoptera, Lycaenidae. The transcript has 3 exons.